GAGUUUGAUCCUGGCUCAGGAUGAACGCUGGCGGCGUGCUUAACACAUGCAAGUCGAGCGAAGCAUUAAAACCGAUUUCUUCGGAAAGAAGUUUUAAUGACUGAGCGGCGGACGGGUGAGUAACGCGUGGGUGACCUGCCUCAUACAGGGGGAUAACAGACAGAAAUGUCUGCUAAUACCGCAUAAGCGCACAGUGUUGCAUGGCACAGUGUGAAAAACUCCGGUGGUAUGAGAUGGACCCGCGUCUGAUUAGCUAGUUGGUAAGGUAACGGCUUACCAAGGCGACGAUCAGUAGCCGGCCUGAGAGGGUGAACGGCCACAUUGGGACUGAGACACGGCCCAAACUCCUACGGGAGGCAGCAGUGGGGAAUAUUGCACAAUGGGGGAAACCCUGAUGCAGCGACGCCGCGUGAAGGAAGAAGUAUUUCGGUAUGUAAACUUCUAUCAGCAGGGAAGAAAAUGACGGUACCUGACUAAGAAGCCCCGGCUAACUACGUGCCAGCAGCCGCGGU
This 512-nucleotide ribosomal RNA is filed under the name uncultured bacterium. RNAcentral's name for it is "bacterial SSU rRNA". It matches the Rfam family "Bacterial small subunit ribosomal RNA", at positions 9 to 521 of the family's 1533-position model. The record is from RNAcentral.